Molecule: ribosomal RNA, 206 nt
Filed under: uncultured bacterium
Lineage: Bacteria
Description: partial 16S ribosomal RNA
Rfam family: Bacterial small subunit ribosomal RNA
Source: RNAcentral
UCCGUAGGCGGUUUUGUAAGUCAGUGGUGAAAGCCCAUCGCUCAACGGUGGAACGGCCAUUGAUACUGCAAGACUUGAAUUAUUAGGAAGUAACUAGAAUAUGUAGUGUAGCGGUGAAAUGCUUAGAUAUUACAUGGAAUACCAAUUGCGAAGGCAGGUUACUACUAAUAUAUUGACGCUGAUGGACGAAAGCUGGGGAGCGAACA